RNAcentral lists this transfer RNA (75 nucleotides) under Candidatus Kerfeldbacteria bacterium. Its description in RNAcentral is "tRNA-Phe". It matches the Rfam family "tRNA". From Rfam's summary of the family: Transfer RNA (tRNA) molecules are approximately 80 nucleotides in length. Their secondary structure includes four short double-helical elements and three loops (D, anti-codon, and T loops). Lineage: Bacteria; Candidatus Kerfeldiibacteriota. The record is from RNAcentral.
GCCUGGGUAGCUCAGUGGUAGAGCGAAGGACUGAAAAUCCUUGCGUCGCCAGUUCAAUCCUGGCCCCAGGCACAA